This 2923-nucleotide ribosomal RNA is filed under the name Klebsiella pneumoniae. RNAcentral's name for it is "23S ribosomal RNA". It matches the Rfam family "Bacterial large subunit ribosomal RNA". The record is from RNAcentral. Lineage: Bacteria; Pseudomonadati; Pseudomonadota; Gammaproteobacteria; Enterobacterales; Enterobacteriaceae.
GGGUUGUGAGGUUAAGCGACUAAGCGUACACGGUGGAUGCCCUGGCAGUCAGAGGCGAUGAAGGACGUGCUAAUCUGCGAAAAGCGUCGGUAAGGUGAUAUGAACCGUUAUAGCCGGCGAUGUCCGAAUGGGGAAACCCAGUGCAAUUCGUUGCACUAUCGUUAACUGAAUACAUAGGUUAACGAGGCGAACCGGGGGAACUGAAACAUCUAAGUACCCCGAGGAAAAGAAAUCAACCGAGAUUCCCCCAGUAGCGGCGAGCGAACGGGGAGCAGCCCAGAGUCUGAAUCAGCUUGUGUGUUAGUGGAACGGUCUGGAAAGUCCGACGGUACAGGGUGAUAGUCCCGUACACCAAAAUGCACAGGUUGUGAACUCGAAGAGUAGGGCGGGACACGUGGUAUCCUGUCUGAAUAUGGGGGGACCAUCCUCCAAGGCUAAAUACUCCUGACUGACCGAUAGUGAACCAGUACCGUGAGGGAAAGGCGAAAAGAACCCCGGCGAGGGGAGUGAAAAAGAACCUGAAACCGUGUACGUACAAGCAGUGGGAGCACCUUCGGGUGUGACUGCGUACCUUUUGUAUAAUGGGUCAGCGACUUAUAUUCUGUAGCAAGGUUAACCGUAUAGGGGAGCCGCAGGGAAACCGAGUCUUAACUGGGCGUUAAGUUGCAGGGUAUAGACCCGAAACCCGGUGAUCUAGCCAUGGGCAGGUUGAAGGUUGGGUAACACUAACUGGAGGACCGAACCGACUAAUGUUGAAAAAUUAGCGGAUGACUUGUGGCUGGGGGUGAAAGGCCAAUCAAACCGGGAGAUAGCUGGUUCUCCCCGAAAGCUAUUUAGGUAGCGCCUCGUGAACUCAUCUUCGGGGGUAGAGCACUGUUUCGGCUAGGGGGUCAUCCCGACUUACCAACCCGAUGCAAACUACGAAUACCGAAGAAUGUUAUCACGGGAGACACACGGCGGGUGCUAACGUCCGUCGUGAAGAGGGAAACAACCCAGACCGCCAGCUAAGGUCCCAAAGUCAUGGUUAAGUGGGAAACGAUGUGGGAAGGCACAGACAGCCAGGAUGUUGGCUUAGAAGCAGCCAUCAUUUAAAGAAAGCGUAAUAGCUCACUGGUCGAGUCGGCCUGCGCGGAAGAUGUAACGGGGCUAAACCAUGCACCGAAGCUGCGGCAGCGACACUAUGUGUUGUUGGGUAGGGGAGCGUUCUGUAAGCCUGCGAAGGUGUGCUGUGAGGCAUGCUGGAGGUAUCAGAAGUGCGAAUGCUGACAUAAGUAACGAUAAAGCGGGUGAAAAGCCCGCUCGCCGGAAGACCAAGGGUUCCUGUCCAACGUUAAUCGGGGCAGGGUGAGUCGACCCCUAAGGCGAGGCCGAAAGGCGUAGUCGAUGGGAAACAGGUUAAUAUUCCUGUACUUGGUGUUACUGCGAAGGGGGGACGGAGAAGGCUAUGUUAGCCGGGCGACGGUUGUCCCGGUUUAAGCAUGUAGGCUGGUUGUCCAGGCAAAUCCGGAUAAUCAAGGCUGAGGUGUGAUGACGAGGCACUACGGUGCUGAAGUAACAAAUGCCCUGCUUCCAGGAAAAGCCUCUAAGCAUCAGGUAACAUCAAAUCGUACCCCAAACCGACACAGGUGGUCAGGUAGAGAAUACCAAGGCGCUUGAGAGAACUCGGGUGAAGGAACUAGGCAAAAUGGUGCCGUAACUUCGGGAGAAGGCACGCUGGUGUGUAGGUGAAGUCCCUGCGGAUGGAGCUGAGACCAGUCGAAGAUACCAGCUGGCUGCAACUGUUUAUUAAAAACACAGCACUGUGCAAACACGAAAGUGGACGUAUACGGUGUGACGCCUGCCCGGUGCCGGAAGGUUAAUUGAUGGGGUUAUCCGUAAGGAGAAGCUCUUGAUCGAAGCCCCGGUAAACGGCGGCCGUAACUAUAACGGUCCUAAGGUAGCGAAAUUCCUUGUCGGGUAAGUUCCGACCUGCACGAAUGGCGUAAUGAUGGCCAGGCUGUCUCCACCCGAGACUCAGUGAAAUUGAACUCGCUGUGAAGAUGCAGUGUACCCGCGGCAAGACGGAAAGACCCCGUGAACCUUUACUAUAGCUUGACACUGAACAUUGAGCCUUGAUGUGUAGGAUAGGUGGGAGGCUUUGAAGCGUGGACGCCAGUCUGCGUGGAGCCAACCUUGAAAUACCACCCUUUAAUGUUUGAUGUUCUAACGUUGGCCCCUGACCGGGGUUGCGGACAGUGUCUGGUGGGUAGUUUGACUGGGGCGGUCUCCUCCCAAAGCGUAACGGAGGAGCACGAAGGUUAGCUAAUCCUGGUCGGACAUCAGGAGGUUAGUGCAAUGGCAUAAGCUAGCUUGACUGCGAGCGUGACGGCGCGAGCAGGUGCGAAAGCAGGUCAUAGUGAUCCGGUGGUUCUGAAUGGAAGGGCCAUCGCUCAACGGAUAAAAGGUACUCCGGGGAUAACAGGCUGAUACCGCCCAAGAGUUCAUAUCGACGGCGGUGUUUGGCACCUCGAUGUCGGCUCAUCACAUCCUGGGGCUGAAGUAGGUCCCAAGGGUAUGGCUGUUCGCCAUUUAAAGUGGUACGCGAGCUGGGUUUAGAACGUCGUGAGACAGUUCGGUCCCUAUCUGCCGUGGGCGCUGGAGAAUUGAGGGGGGCUGCUCCUAGUACGAGAGGACCGGAGUGGACGCAUCACUGGUGUUCGGGUUGUCAUGCCAAUGGCACUGCCCGGUAGCUAAAUGCGGAAGAGAUAAGUGCUGAAAGCAUCUAAGCACGAAACUUGCCCCGAGAUGAGUUCUCCCUGAGACUUUAAGUCUCCUGAAGGAACGUUGAAGACGACGACGUUGAUAGGCCGGGUGUGUAAGCGCAGCGAUGCGUUGAGCUAACCGGUACUAAUGAACCGUGAGGCUUAACCUUACAACGCCGAAG